GGAGGGUGAAGCGUCGAGGCGGCGCGAUCGGCUGAUAACCGGGAGUCCGGGCUAGUCACCCGGAUGGAGUUCGAGUCUCCCGCCCUCCGCCA
Molecule: transfer RNA, 92 nt
Filed under: Conexibacter arvalis
Lineage: Bacteria; Bacillati; Actinomycetota; Thermoleophilia; Solirubrobacterales; Conexibacteraceae
Description: tRNA-Ile
Source: RNAcentral